UACGUAGGGUGCGAGCGUUAAUCGGAAUUACUGGGCGUAAAGCGUGCGCAGGCGGUUCGUUGUGUCGGCGGUGAAAGCCCCCGGGCUUAACCUGGGAAUGGCCGUCGAAACUGGCGAACUGGAGUGUGGCAGAGGGGGGUGGAAUUCCGCGUGUAGCAGUGAAAUGCGUAGAGAUGCGGAGGAACACCGAUGGCGAAGGCAGCCCCCUGGGCUGACACUGACGCUCAGGCACGAAAGCGUGGGGAGCAAACAGG
Molecule: ribosomal RNA, 254 nt
Filed under: uncultured bacterium
Lineage: Bacteria
Description: partial 16S ribosomal RNA
Rfam family: Bacterial small subunit ribosomal RNA
Source: RNAcentral